AGUAGGCGGCGCUCUCCUUGUGCUCUGUGUUCCAGCAUUGUGUCAAUAAGAAGUGGUGCUGUGAAGAGAACAAUAGUCAGACUGAAUGUUGAACAUCAGCUGCUUCCUCCUGCUGAUUUAAACCUUGGUGGACAGAUGGAACAUUGGCUGUGGAUUAUUCUGGCUGCUCUUUUCUCUGAGUGUAAAGGAGACUCAGUGAAGCAGACAGAAGGAGAAGUUGUUGCUGCUGCAGGAGAAUCACUGACUCUGAGAUGUACUUAUGAGACCAGUGAUACAUAUCCAUAUCUGUUCUGGUACAAACAAGGAGAAAACAGUUUCCCAAAGUACAUGCUGAAGCGUUACUCCACAACUUCAGAAAAUUCUCCAGAGUUCAGUGAAGACAGAUUUGAUGCUGAUCUCAACACCGAGGCAAAAGAGAAAUCAGUCAACCUGAAGAUCCAGGAUCUCCGUCUGUCAGACUCUGCUGUGUACUACUGCGCUCUGCGGCCCACAGUGACAGGAAACACCAGAACCCUGCACAAAAACCUGCAGUACUCCACAGCAGCCACUAGAGGGCCUCACAUCCUUCUCUAGUUCUUUAAAUUCCUAGGAUUGAGUCUGGUUCUGGUUCUGGGUCAGUCUGUGGCUGGUUUCCUUUAGCAGCAUUUCCUUUGUGCUGAUUGGUUCGUGUGUUUAUCUCUACCUGUUUCUAAGCAUUCAGACCUGAGACUGUUCAGUUUCAGCAGCUGGGUUGUUCAUCAGACGCUCUGCCAGGAAGCAGCAGCUCUUGGUUCAUCAGGAUCGUCUGAUUCCUGCUGCUGAAAUGCUUCUCCAGUAGUUUCCUUUCACUGCGGCUACAC
Xiphophorus couchianus (Monterrey platyfish) is the source of this 839-nucleotide non-coding RNA. NCBI's taxonomy places the organism in Eukaryota, Metazoa, Chordata, Actinopteri, Cyprinodontiformes, Poeciliidae. The record is from the annotation of a RefSeq genome assembly.